GAUGAACGCUGGCGGUAUGCUUAACACAUGCAAGUCGAACGGACUCUUCGGAGUUAGUGGCGGACGGGGGAGUAACGCGUGAGAAACUGGCUUUGGGUUCGGGACAACCACUGGAAACGGUGGCUAAUACCGGAUGUGACAAGAGGUAAAAGAGAAAUUGCCUGAAGAUGAGCUCGCGUCUGAUUAGCUAGUUGGUGAGGUAAAGGCUCACCAAGGCAGCGAUCAGUAGCUGGUCUGAGAGGAUGACCUGCCAUAAUGGGACUGAGACACGGCACAGACUACUACGGGAGGCAGCAGUGGAGAAUGUUCCAGAAUGGGCGAGAGUCUGAAGAAGCAAUACCGCGUGAGAGAAGAAGGAUGUUGGGUGGUAAACCACUUUUCUUAGGGAAGAACAAAAUGACGUUACCUAAAGAAUCAGCACCGGCUAACUCCGUG
This 435-nucleotide ribosomal RNA is filed under the name uncultured bacterium. RNAcentral describes it as "partial 16S ribosomal RNA". It matches the Rfam family "Bacterial small subunit ribosomal RNA", at positions 28 to 507 of the family's 1533-position model. The record is from RNAcentral.